CCGCUCGAUCUGCCCCUGAUUUAAUUUAAUGGCCGCAGUAUUUUAACUGUGCAAAGGUAGCAUAAUCAUUUGUCUUUUAAUUGGGGACUAGUAUGAAUGAUUGGAUGAGAAAUAUUCUUUGUUUGUUUUAUUUUAAAUAAUUUUCUUUUUUAGUUAAAAAGCUGAAAUGAUUUUAUUAGACGAGAAGACCCUAUAGAACUUUACUUAAUUGUAUAUUAUUAUAAUUUUGGUUGUUCAUUUUUAUUAAUUUACAUUUAAGUUUUGUUGGGGUGACAGUUAAAUUUUAAAAACUUUAUUUUAUAAAUGUUCAUUAGUUUAUGAUUUUUUUGAUCCAAUUUUAUUGAUUGUAAGAUUAAGUUACCUUAGGGAUAACAGCGUAAUUUUUUUGGAGAGUUCUUAUUAAUAAAAAAGUUUGCGACCUCGAUGUUGGAUUAAAAAAAGAUUUUAGUGCAGUAGCUAUUAUUCUAAGUCUGUUCGACUUUUAAUUUUUUACAUGAUCUGAGUUCAACCGGA
This 513-nucleotide ribosomal RNA is filed under the name Amphiareus obscuriceps. Its description in RNAcentral is "partial 16S ribosomal RNA". It matches the Rfam family "Bacterial large subunit ribosomal RNA", at positions 1893 to 2619 of the family's 2925-position model. The record is from RNAcentral. Lineage: Eukaryota; Metazoa; Arthropoda; Insecta; Hemiptera; Anthocoridae.